AGAGUUUGAUCCUGGCUCAGGACGAACGCUGGCGGCGUGCUUAACACAUGCAAGUCGAACGGAAAGGCCCUUCGGGGUACUCGAGUGGCGAACGGGUGAGUAACACGUGGGUGAUCUGCCCUGCACUUUGGGAUAAGCCUGGGAAACUGGGUCUAAUACCGAAUAUGACCACGCUCUUCAUGGGGUGUGGUGGAAAGCUUUUGCGGUGUGGGAUGGGCCCGUGGCCUAUCAGCUUGUUGGUGGGGUAAUGGCCUACCAAGGCGACGACGGGUAGCCGGCCUGAGAGGGUGACCGGCCACACUGGGACUGAGAUACGGCCCAGACUCCUACGGGAGGCAGCAGAAGGG
Molecule: ribosomal RNA, 347 nt
Filed under: uncultured Mycobacterium sp.
Lineage: Bacteria; Bacillati; Actinomycetota; Actinomycetes; Mycobacteriales; Mycobacteriaceae
Description: bacterial SSU rRNA
Rfam family: Bacterial small subunit ribosomal RNA
Source: RNAcentral